RNAcentral lists this ribosomal RNA (476 nucleotides) under uncultured organism. RNAcentral describes it as "partial 16S ribosomal RNA". It matches the Rfam family "Bacterial small subunit ribosomal RNA", at positions 332 to 799 of the family's 1533-position model. The record is from RNAcentral.
UACACUCCUGCGGGAGGCAGCAGUGGGGAAUAUUGCACAAUGGGCGCAAGCCUGAUGCAGCCAUGCCGCGUGUAUGAAGAAGGCCUUCGGGUUGUAAAGUACUUUCAGCGGGGAGGAAGGCAAUACGGUUAAUAACCGUGUUGAUUGACGUUACCCGCAGAAGAAGCACCGGCUAACUCCGUGCCAGCAGCCGCGGUAAUACGGAGGGUGCAAGCGUUAAUCGGAAUUACUGGGCGUACAGCGCACGCAGGCGGUCUGUCAAGUCGGAUGUGAAAUCCCCGGGCUCAACCUGGGAACUGCAUUCGAAACUGGCAGGCUUGGGUCUUGUAGAGGGGGGUAGAAUUCCAGGUGUAGCGGUGAAAUGCGUAGAGAUCUGGAGGAAUACCGGUGGCGAAGGCGGCCCCCUGGACAAAGACUGACGCUCAGGUGCGAAAGCGUGGGGAGCAAACAGGAUUAGAAACCCGAGUAGUCCCAUG